UGGUGUGGUUACUGGGACCACUUCACAAAGCUGAUUCUGUCUCGGUAUGUGAUUUUGGAGGCUAGCCUGCGACUGCACAUGACCCCUUUGCGACAUGUCUUGGUUGCCAGUGCCUUGGACAUUGUUGAAGCUGUAGGUCGGCUCUGGGUAGUUUGAUUGUGGGUAUAGUGCCUCAUGAUGGAAUCCAGGGUCCCGCGGCCGCUCGUAGUAUUCAGGAGAUUGGCUUGGCAAUGGUGUAUGCAUCGUUUUCUUCUGACCACGUAACUUGGCUGUAAAUAACGCUGUUGAGUAAUUAUCUGGACCAAUUCAGACGGUGUACUCUGCUGCAUGAUGAACUCCGACAUGCGGAGGACUGCUGUAUUGUAAUCUCUAGCCAAAGAAAGCGAGGAACCUAAAUAAAAUAAUUCGAU
Long non-coding RNA from Rhincodon typus (whale shark), 410 nucleotides. RefSeq lists it as uncharacterized. The record is from RefSeq and is a predicted model, not a curated record. The transcript is spliced from 3 exons. Lineage: Eukaryota; Metazoa; Chordata; Chondrichthyes; Orectolobiformes; Rhincodontidae.